RNAcentral lists this ribosomal RNA (253 nucleotides) under uncultured bacterium. RNAcentral's name for it is "partial 16S ribosomal RNA". It matches the Rfam family "Bacterial small subunit ribosomal RNA", at positions 524 to 776 of the family's 1533-position model. The record is from RNAcentral.
UACGAAGGGGGCUAGCGUUGCUCGGAAUCACUGGGCGUAAAGCGCACGUAGGCGGGUCGUUAAGUCAGGGGUGAAAUCCUGGAGCUCAACUCCAGAACUGCCUUUGAUACUGGCGAUCUUGAGUUCGGGAGAGGUGAGUGGAACUGCGAGUGUAGAGGUGAAAUUCGUAGAUAUUCGCAAGAACACCAGUGGCGAAGGCGACUACCUGGCCUGUUCUUGACGCUGAGGCGCGAAAGCUAGGGGAGCAAACGGG